GAUGAACGCUAGCUACAGGCUUAACACAUGCAAGUCGAGGGGCAGCAUGAACUUAGCUUGCUAAGUUUGAUGGCGACCGGCGCACGGGUGAGUAACGCGUAUCCAACCUGCCCUUUACGCGGGGAUAGCCUUCUGAAAGGAAGUUUAAUACCCGAUGAAUUCGUUUAGUCGCAUGGCUUGAUGAAGAAAGAUUUAUCAGUAAAGGAUGGGGAUGCGUCCCAUUAGCUGGUUGGUGGGGUAACGGCCCACCAAGGCGACGAUGGGUAGGGGUUCUGAGAGGAAGGUCCCCCACAUUGGAACUGAGACACGGUCCAAACUCCUACGGGAGGCAGCAGUGAGGAAUAUUGGUCAAUGGGCGCGAGCCUGAACCAGCCAAGUAGCGUGGAGGACGACGGCCCUACGGGUUGUAAACUCCUUUUAUAAGGGGGAUAAAGUUGGCCAUGUAUGGCCAUUUGCAGGUACCUUAUGAAUAAGCAUCGGCUAAUUCCGUGCCAGCAGCCGCGGU
This 505-nucleotide ribosomal RNA is filed under the name uncultured bacterium. RNAcentral's name for it is "bacterial SSU rRNA". It matches the Rfam family "Bacterial small subunit ribosomal RNA", at positions 28 to 521 of the family's 1533-position model. The record is from RNAcentral.